RNAcentral lists this signal recognition particle RNA (299 nucleotides) under Cavia aperea (Brazilian guinea pig). RNAcentral describes it as "Metazoan signal recognition particle RNA (ENSCAPG00000001441.1)". It matches the Rfam family "Metazoan signal recognition particle RNA". Rfam says of the family: The signal recognition particle (SRP) is a universally conserved ribonucleoprotein. It is involved in the co-translational targeting of proteins to membranes. Lineage: Eukaryota; Metazoa; Chordata; Mammalia; Rodentia; Caviidae. The record is from RNAcentral.
GCUGGGCAUGGUGGCUCAUGCCUGUAGUUCCAGCUAUUCGGGAGGCUAAAGUGGGAGGAUCACUUGAGUCCAGGAGUUCUGGGCUGCAGUGCGCUAUGCCAAUUGGGUGUCUGCACUAAGUUCGGCAUCAAUAUGGUGACCUCCCCGGAGCGGGGGACCACCAGGUUGCCUAAGGAGGGGUGAACCGGCCCAGGUUGGAAACGGAGCAGGUCAAAACUCCCGUGCUGAUCAGUAGUGGGAUUGCGCCUGUGAAUAGCCACUGCACUCCAGCCUGGGCAAUAUAGUGAGACCCUGUCUCU